Molecule: ribosomal RNA, 253 nt
Filed under: uncultured bacterium
Lineage: Bacteria
Description: partial 16S ribosomal RNA
Rfam family: Bacterial small subunit ribosomal RNA
Source: RNAcentral
UACGUAGGUGGCAAGCGUUGUCCGGAUUUACUGGGUGUAAAGGGCGUGCAGCCGGAGAGACAAGUCAGAUGUGAAAUCCACGGGCUCAACCCGUGAACUGCAUUUGAAACUGUUUCCCUUGAGUGUCGGAGAGGUAAUCGGAAUUCCUUGUGUAGCGGUGAAAUGCGUAGAUAUAAGGAAGAACCCCGAUUGCGAAGGCAGCCUUCCGGCGCCCUACUGACGCUGUGGCACGAAAGUGCGGGGAUCGAACAGG